This 73-nucleotide transfer RNA is filed under the name Lachnospiraceae bacterium. RNAcentral describes it as "tRNA-Thr". It matches the Rfam family "tRNA". Rfam says of the family: Transfer RNA (tRNA) molecules are approximately 80 nucleotides in length. Their secondary structure includes four short double-helical elements and three loops (D, anti-codon, and T loops). Lineage: Bacteria; Bacillati; Bacillota; Clostridia; Lachnospirales; Lachnospiraceae. The record is from RNAcentral.
GCUGUUUUGGCUCAGUCGGUAGAGCGUCACCUUGGUAAGGUGGAGGUCGGGGGUUCAAGUCCCCUAAACAGCU